GCAGAGGGAACAGCCAGGAAGGAAAGUCAGCAAGGCUUGGAGAAUGAGACUCUAACAUGCAGCAUUGGACUGCUUCUGAAUAGGACCAUUUUACCACAACAACUCAGCUUGGGAAACUUACAGGGUGAGAAUCCAGCUCUGCCAGGGACCUUUAGGUGAGACUGGCAAGUCACUUAGCCAAGAAGCAGAGGUUAAGUAGCACAUGCUGCCAUGACCAGACUGUUAGUUUUGAAAGUGUUUACUAUCCAGGUAUUACAGGGCAUUUUUAACAUAGCCUAUGGCCACUAACUGUUAUAGGAGCAGAAGAACAUAUCCUACCCCCACCACAUUUAAACAGGGUUAACAAAUCCCACCCACGGUGUACAGCACUCACAGACUCCACUAUCACUUUCAGAUCCCACUGUCCAGCAUACAAACUAGUUUCUUGCCCAGGUCAAGGAUGGCCCCUGAUAUCAGCUUUACUACUCCCUCCUCCACCUCUUUUUUUGUUUCCAGCAGGCAGCCCAGACCCUCAAUUCACAAAGCAUACUGAAGCCAGAGGAACAGCCAGCAGCAGCCACUCACAAAGGACAAGGAGAGGAGGAGCAAGACUGGAUGUUUUUCAAAAGAUCACAGAGGAUCCUUCAUUUCCAAAUGGACUCAUACGCCAGAAGAUCCUUCGAGAGUGAAAAUAGGUUCAGAAGUGCUCCAGAAGAGAAAAGCACAGCCCUGUCUGACCAGCCUGCAAUAAGAGAGAACCUCCUCUUCCAUACAGUCAAGAGGAAAUAAUUUGGAUCCUAUGUGACCAAGGCUCACCUUGUCCUGGGGAUUGGCUUUGCUUUGGCUCAUUCUCAUAAUCACUACAGGAGGCAGUGAAGUGCUGUUACGUGACCUUUGCAAAUCCAGCAGGAUCCCAGAACAAGAACCCAUUCUUCUUGGUCCAGCCACUGAACCACAAAUUCUCCUGAGAGUGCACAGGCAAGGACAGUUUCCAGAUCAAGACAGUGGAAUGCACAUAUGCAUAUCAUUACAAAGACCAUGGUUUUGAGAGUCAAGAACAGGGACUGCACAGAACAUACCUGAAAAGCUCUAAGAGGGA
Non-coding RNA from Struthio camelus australis, 1078 nucleotides. The record is from RefSeq and is a predicted model, not a curated record. Lineage: Eukaryota; Metazoa; Chordata; Aves; Struthioniformes; Struthionidae.